This 492-nucleotide ribosomal RNA is filed under the name uncultured bacterium. RNAcentral's name for it is "partial 16S ribosomal RNA". It matches the Rfam family "Bacterial small subunit ribosomal RNA", at positions 29 to 507 of the family's 1533-position model. The record is from RNAcentral.
AGUGUACGCUGGCGGUAGGCCUAACACAUGCAAGUCGAACGGCAGCACAGUAAGAGCUUGCUCUUACGGGUGGCGAGUGGCGGACGGGUGAGGAAUACAUCGGAAUCUACUUUUUCGUGGGGGAUAACGUAGGGAAACUUACGCUAAUACCGCAUACGACCUACGGGUGAAAGCAGGGGAUCUUCGGACCUUGCGCGAUUGAAUGAGCCGAUGUCGGAUUAGCUAGUUGGCGGGGUAAAAGCCCACCAAGGCGACGAUCCGUAGCUGGUCUGAGAGGAUGAUCAGCCACACUGGAACUGAGACACGGUCCAGACUCCUACGGGAGGCAGCAGUGGGGAAUAUUGGACAAUGGGCGCAAGCCUGAUCCGGCCAUACCGCGUGGGUGAAGAAGGCCUUCGGGUUGUAAAGCCCUUUUGUUGGGAAAGAAAAGCAGCAGGUUAAUACCCCGCUGUUCUGACGGUACCCAAAGAAUAAGCACCGGCUAACUUCGUG